RNAcentral lists this ribosomal RNA (497 nucleotides) under uncultured bacterium. RNAcentral describes it as "partial 16S ribosomal RNA". It matches the Rfam family "Bacterial small subunit ribosomal RNA", at positions 28 to 507 of the family's 1533-position model. The record is from RNAcentral.
GAUGAACGCUGGCGGCGUGCCUAAUACAUGCAAGUCGAGCGAACGAACGAGACUCUUUCUUCUCUUAUGUUAGCGGCGGACGGGUAAGUCACACGUGUAUAACCUGCCUAUAGGACUGACAUACCUUCAGGAAACCUGAUCUCAUACCCGAUCAUAUUUUGAACCUCAUGGUUCUACAGUGCAAGACGGUCUUGCUGACACUUAUAGAUAUAUCCUGGUUGCAUUAGCUAGUUGGUAAGGUAACGGCUUACCAAGGCUACGAUGCGUAGCUGAUCUGAGAGGAUGAUCAGUCACACUGGAACUGAGACACGGUCCAGACUCCUACGGGAGGCAGCAGUAGGGAAUAUUCGACAAUGGGCGAAAGCCUGACGCAGCCAUGCCGCGUGAGUGAUGAAGGUCUUCGGAUUGUAAAGCUCUUUUAUUAGGGAAGAACAGAUGUGUAAGUAACUGUGGCUAUCUUGACGGUACCUACAGAGAAAGCAACGGCUAACUACGUG